GCCCUCGUAGCUCAGUGGAUUAGAGCGUCUCCCUGCGGAGGAGAAGGCCGAGCGUUCGAAUCGCUCCGAGGGUA
This 74-nucleotide transfer RNA is filed under the name Anaerolineaceae bacterium. RNAcentral describes it as "tRNA-Arg". It matches the Rfam family "tRNA". Rfam says of the family: Transfer RNA (tRNA) molecules are approximately 80 nucleotides in length. RNAcentral also lists the same sequence under 1 other name. Lineage: Bacteria; Bacillati; Chloroflexota; Anaerolineae; Anaerolineales; Anaerolineaceae. The record is from RNAcentral.